Taeniopygia guttata (zebra finch) is the source of this 1356-nucleotide non-coding RNA. Lineage: Eukaryota; Metazoa; Chordata; Aves; Passeriformes; Estrildidae. The record is from RefSeq and is a predicted model, not a curated record.
GGCGGCAUCACCGGUAGUGGUGGCAAUGCCACUGUGAGCACAGGAGGAGCAGGGCAGUGGUCACUGCAGGGGCAGCAAUGUCACCGGGAGGAGCAGGGCAGCGGUCACUGCCUGGUCACACACAGGUCAGGCAGACCUACCACAGGUUUCUCUCCACACCUUUACUGAUAGAUAGAUAUUUUUUUAAGAAAUAAAAGGUAGCUGCUGCUUGGAGCUUUCCAUGGCGUUCAUCUAAUAAAUAAAUUAACCUGUGCCCUUCCUGUUACUCGAGCUGCUACACUGGGCCGGCUCGGGAGGAGCCGUGCCCGGGAUGGAUCCCGGCUCGGGAGGAGCCGUGCCCGGGAUGGAUCCCGGCUCGGGAGGAGCCGUGCCCGGGAUGGAUCCCGGCUCGGGAGGAGCUGUGCCCGGGAUGGAUCCCGGCUCGGGAGGAGCUGUGCCCGGGAUGGAUCCCGGCUCGGGAGGAGCUGUGCCCGGGAUGGAUCCCGGCUCGGGAGGAGCUGUCCCUGGGCUGGUUUCCCUGCUGGCACCGGCUCCAGCCUCUCCCCGGCUGCCCUGGCACUCCCUGGGCAAUCCCUGCGGCUCUCCCGGGCGGGCAGGUCGGGCUCUUGCCGGAGGGAGCUGGCAGUGCCAUCCCUGCUGGAGGUGCCCCUGGCAGUGCCAUCCCUGCUGGAGGUGCCCCUGGCAGUGCCUCUGGACAGUGGCAAGGCUGGGAUUUUCACAGGAGCCCGGCAGGGUUUGAGCAUCUGGAUUCCUCCUGGCAAACCUGGGUGGUGCCACUGCUCUGGGAGCUGCAAGGAGCUUCCUCCACAGAGGAACAUCCUCUCAGUUCAGCUUCUUUUUCAUGAAAAACCCCCAAACGUCACUGCUGAAGGCAGUGCUCUUUGGUGGUUUUUUCUUACUGGUGAGCAGAACCCCUGUCUGGAUCCUCAUGUCGCCCUCCCAUUGCACCAGCUGUUGAGAUGCACUAUGCUUGAUUGCAGAUUGUGUUCUAACGUUUAUUUUGUUGUUGGUUUUUUGGGUUUUUUUGGUAUACAGUUGUUGCCUUUAUUUGUAAAAUCCUGUUAUAAAUAUAUAUAUAUUAUAUAAAUAUAUUAAAAGUUAAAAGGUUUCAGAUGUCUAUUAUUUGUAUAACUACUUGAGCAUAAAGAAGUGAGAAAUAUGAAUGUAUUCUUGUUUCUGGGUUGUCUUUUUUUUUUUUUUUUUAAGAGAAGAAUAUUCCGUUUUUCUCUCGGGAGAGGUACAGUGUUUAUAUUUUGGAGCCGCCUUCAAGGUGGGAUAUUGUACAUAUUUUUAUCUUGAGUAAAUGUUAAGUAGCUGUUUAAAAAUGCUUAAUAAAAUAAUUCUUUUCCUGUGGAA